CUAAGAUUCCCAAUAUUAGGAAAAUUAUUUUCUUGUUUCUUAAUCUUCACCUAAUUUGUGUUUCUUGGAUGGAUGCCUUUUUCUUAUGAAUUCCUUCGCUGUUCCACUUAACAGCUGAAACAAUUCCACUGGAGAAUUCUUCUCUAUGGAAGACCCUUGGGAAAACGUACGAGACUUGGAUCUGUCCUCUUGUUCAUUCACUUAUUGAGCAUACUGAUGAUAUGAUUUUAAGAUUGUGUCAAGACAUUAUUUUGAUGAAGGAUGAACUAGCGGAGCUACUAUUAUCACAUGUCUUGGUGAACUUAGCGAGAACUAAGGGUUCACAAGUUGAUCUUUGUCCAAGAAAACAUUUUUACGGAGUAUAAUGAACUGAUCAAAUCAGUUCAGAUUAUGCUGGAUGCACUGAUUGAAACCCGACUAUAUCGUGUCAUGGAAAGAGGAGGCACUUCCUCAGCACCACUCAAGAGAGAUAGUCCGAAGAAAUGUACCAGUAGAAAGAUUAGCGGUGUUGAAUUGAAGCUGCUAGAACAGAGUUUGUCAAGGUUGAAGAGGUGAACUACUUUGAAGAAAGAACUCUGAAGAACUGAAGAACAUAGAAAGAUGACUGCAGUGCAGGUCAAUUGAAGUAGUAGCCACCCGGGGGAAUAUCAAUCCCUGGUAAGUACACUUUUGUUUCUUAUUCUUAUCAUAUUGAGUUAUGUUGGAUAUUAAUCUUGAGUAUAUAAUUGCUUUUGAGGUAAUAUGUUGUUCGUGAUGUUGCUACGAGAUAAUGUUGUUGCUGACCUUUCUCCGUUUCAGUAUGUCUAUUAACAACAAAAUAUAAAGAUAGAUUCAGGAAUCAGCAAAAGCUUAUGUCAUGUGCUGUCUGGCUCCCCAUUCUACACCGACCUGUGAAUUUCCAAUUCCCUUUGUUGUCCUUCAACAUGAUGUAGAUACACUCACAGCAGCAGUAGUUUCUGAAUGUUCAUGAUCAACAACUGCUCUGAAACGAAGAUUAUACAAAAUCUAGGGUUUAGUCUUUUGUUUGUGACAUCAGUACCGAAACAUCAGGUUGGUUAUUAUGCAGGUAUUUAGGCUUAAGUCAAAAAACAGUACUUUGGUGAUAUUUUAGAAGCAGUUGAAUUUUUGCUGAGGAGAUUGGUUAAGCAAGCGGAGUCUGGUGAUACUUAUGGUGAUGUUUAGUCUUUCUUUCCCUGUUUUUCAAUGCCUCUUUCAGUUGACACAAACUAGGUUACCCAUCCAUUUAUAAACAUCAACAUAGAUCGAACAUUUUAUGUCAGACACAACAUACAUAAGUUUACUUGUGUACAUUUGUAUCAA
This is a long non-coding RNA of Papaver somniferum (opium poppy), 1320 nucleotides long. RefSeq lists it as uncharacterized. The transcript has 9 exons. The record is from RefSeq and is a predicted model, not a curated record. Lineage: Eukaryota; Viridiplantae; Streptophyta; Magnoliopsida; Ranunculales; Papaveraceae.